AGAGUUUGAUUAUGGCUCAGGAUGAACGCUAGCGAAAUGCCUAACACAUGCAAGUCGAACGGACCUUGCGUCGUAGUAAUACGUAGUAAGGUUAGUGGCAAACGAGCGAGUAACGCGUGCUUAACCUACCCCGAAGUUGGGUAUAACUACAGAGAUGUAGCUAAUUCCCAAUAUGCUCACGAUGGUGAAAUCCCAAUGGGAGGAAAGAUUUAUCGCUUCGGGAGGGGGGUGCGUCCUAUCAGAUAGUUGGUGAGGUAACGGCUUACCAAGUCUAUGACGGGUAACCGGUCUGAGAUGAUGUCCGGUCGCGAUGGGACUGAGAUACGGCCCAUACUCCUACGGGAGGCAGCAGGUGGGGAAUCUUGCACAAUGGACGAAAGUCUGAUGCAGCAAUUUUGCGUGAAGGAUGAAGCAUUACGGUGUGUAAACUUCUUUUUUGGCAGAAGACGAAUGACGGUAUGUCAAGAAUAAGAGACGGCUAACUACGUGCCAGCAGCAGC
Molecule: ribosomal RNA, 500 nt
Filed under: uncultured bacterium
Lineage: Bacteria
Description: bacterial SSU rRNA
Rfam family: Bacterial small subunit ribosomal RNA
Source: RNAcentral